CUGUGUGCCGCGCGCUUUUUUUUUUUUCUUGCAGGAGACUUGUUGGCUUCGCUAACGGACGUAGUUUUGAACUCGUAUUCGCGCCAUUUAUAGCUGCUUGGACAAGCAUCUUCGGAAUUUGUAGACAUCCUGGCAACUUACAAUUAAUUCGAGGUGAGGUGAGUUCAUGCACCUUCAAGUUAUCUCUGUUAUAAAAACCCACCAGCCCAGCUUUUAUAGAUAAUUUUAGGAGUUCGUUUUUUAUGAGUGAGGUUGUGAAUUUAGUUAGAGUUUAAACUAUUUGAAUUUUGUAUUGCCCUAAUUAGCAAACAAGUUAAGUGUUGCACUGAACUGUUAACACUGAAAUUUAAACCGCACUGUCUGUUACAAACAUUACUUGACUUUAACUGUUAUUAUAGCAUUUUUUUAUAGCAUGUGUUUAAGGUUUAAGGGUGGUGACACAGCUAAGACCCGAGAGUCUCUUUCAAGAUACUGAAUUUGAGCAGAAACCAUAAAGAUACUCAAAGGACCUGUGACUCUCAGGAAAUGCAUCAAAUGAGAGUGACAGGUGAAACCAUUUCAAGACAAUGGCAGGAAAAGCAUGCUAAAGAUUGAAUCAAACCUUGGCUGGAAAUAUUUGAAGGGAUCUAGCCAGUCCACAAUGAAAGCUUCGUUGCCCCCCUGUGAGUCUUCUGGCAGAAAUGAAUGGAUGGCGCCUGUAUUCUUUGGUUUCCCUAAACAUCACAUCGUGUUUAUACGAGGCUCUUCAAUUAAGUCUGCACCCAAAGAUUCAAUAAGAGAGGGGAUCCUGCUAGUCCAAAGUGAACUCCUGAUGGACAUUGAAGUACUCCUGCAGAGAUUGUAUCUUCGACACCAUGCGCAUUAGAAACUCCACUGAGUGCUUUCCUU
This is a long non-coding RNA of Cyprinus carpio (common carp), 888 nucleotides long. RefSeq lists it as uncharacterized. The transcript is spliced from 5 exons. The record is from RefSeq and is a predicted model, not a curated record. NCBI's taxonomy places the organism in Eukaryota, Metazoa, Chordata, Actinopteri, Cypriniformes, Cyprinidae.